GAUGAACGCUGGCGGUAUGCUUAACACAUGCAAGUCGAACGGACUCUUCGGAGUUAGUGGCGGACGGGUGAGUAACGCGUGAGAAUCUGGCUUUGGGUUCGGGACAACCACUGGAAACGGUGGCUAAUACCGGAUGUGCCGAGAGGUAAAAGAGAAAUUGCCUGAAGAUGAGCUCGCGUCUGAUUAGCUAGUUGGUGAGGUAAAGGCUCACCAAGGCAGCGAUCAGUAGCUGGUCUGAGAGGAUGACCAGCCACACUGGGACUGAGACACGGCCCAGACUCCUACGGGCGGCAGGAGUGGGGAAUUUUGCGCAAUGGGCGGAAGCCUGACGGAGCAAUACCGCGUGAGGGAAGAAGGCUCUUGGGUUGUAAACCUCUUUUCUUAGGGAAGAACAAAAUGACGGUACCUAAGGAAUCAACAUCGGCUAACUCCGU
Molecule: ribosomal RNA, 434 nt
Filed under: uncultured bacterium
Lineage: Bacteria
Description: partial 16S ribosomal RNA
Rfam family: Bacterial small subunit ribosomal RNA
Source: RNAcentral